Molecule: ribosomal RNA, 378 nt
Filed under: Heterosigma akashiwo
Lineage: Eukaryota; Raphidophyceae; Chattonellales; Chattonellaceae
Description: partial Bacterial large subunit ribosomal RNA
Rfam family: Bacterial large subunit ribosomal RNA
Source: RNAcentral
AGACUUUGAAGCCGGGGCGCCAGCUCUGGUGGAGUCAUCCUUGAAAUACCACCCUUUAAAUAUCUGGAGUCUAACUCGCAUGCGAGGACAUUGUUUGGUGGGUAGUUUGACUGGGGUGGUCGCCUCCAAAAGAGUAACGGAGGCUUUCAAAGGUACCCUCAGUACGGUUGGCAAUCGUACGUAGAGUGUAAUAGCAUAAGGGUGCUUGACUGUGAGACCUACAAGUCGAGCAGGUACGAAAGUAGGAUAUAGUGAUCCGGUGGUUCCGUAUGGAAGGGCCAUCGCUCAAAGGAUAAAAGGUACUCCGGGGAUAACAGGCUUAUCGCCACCAAGAGUUCAUAUCGACGUGGCGGUUUGGCACCUCGAUGUCGGCUCAUC